CGAGAGAAUGCCGGUAUGAGUAGCGAGACCCAUGCGAGAAACAUGGGCGUCGAAGGCCCAAGGUUUCCUGGGGAAGGUUCAUCCACCCAGGGUAAGUCGGGACCUAAGCCGAGGACUGAGGUCGUAGGCGAUGGACAGCAGGUAGAGAUUCCUGCACCACUUACACUUGUUUGACGAAGCAGUGACACAGAAGGAUAGGACGAGCGCGGUGAUGGUCAACCGCGUAGGCGGCACAAGGCUGGGGAGCAGUAAAGUACACUUCCCGGGAAGGCUGAGUGCUGACAGGACCGAAAAAGAGUAGGGAAGCGUCUGAGUUCACGCUGGCGAGAAAAGCUGCUAAGGAGAGUGUGAGUGCCCGUACCGGAAACCGACGCAGGUGGGCGAGGAGAGAAUCCUGAGACGGACGGGAGAACUCUUGUUAAGGAACUCGGCAAAAUGACCCCGUAACUUCGGGAGAAGGGGAGCCUCGAAAGAGGCCGCAGAGAAUAGUCACAAGCGACUGUUUAGCAAAAACACAGGUAUCUGCGAAAGCGAGAGCUGACGUAUAGGUGCUGACGCCUGCCCGGUGCUGGAAGGUUAAGGGGAAGUGUUAGGGGAAACCCGAAGCAGAGAACCGAAGCCCCAGUAAACGGCGGCCGUAACAAUAACGGUCCUAAGGUAGCGAAAUUCCUUGUCGGGUAAGUUCCGACCCGCACGAAUGGCGUAACGACUUGUGAGCUGUCUCAACAGGAGGCCCGGUGAAAUUGAAGUAUGUGUGAAGAUGCACAUUACCCGCGACUGGACGGAAAGACCCCGUAGAGCUUUACUGUAACCUGACAUUGGAUCUUGAUAACGGAUGCACAGGAUAGGUGGGACGCUGGGAGGUAUGGACUUUGGUCUGUACGGAGCGGACGUUGGGAUACCACUCUUCUGUUAUUGAGAUUCUAACCUCAAGCCGUAAGCCGGAUGAGAGACAGUGUCAGGCGGACAGUUUGACUGGGGCGGUCGCCUCCGAAAGAGUAACGGAGGCGCCCAAAGGUACCCUCAGAGUGGAUGGAAACCAUUCGAAGAGAGCAAAGUCAGAAGGGUGCUUGACUGCGAGACCAACAAGUCGAGCAGGUACGAAAGUAGGGCUUAGUGAUCCGGCGGUAAGAGAGUGGAAUUGCCGUCGCUCAACGGAUAAAAGCUACCUCGCGGAUAACAGGCUGAUCUCCCCCAAGAGUUCACAUCGACGGGGAGGUUUGGCACCUCGAUGUCGGCUCGUCGCAUCCUGGGGCUGAAGCAGGUCCCAAGGGUUUGGCUGUUCGCCAAUUAAAGCGGCACGCGAGCUGGGUUCAGAACGUCGUGAGACAGUUCGGUCCCUAUCCAUCGUGGGCGAAGGACACAUGAGAGGAGCUGCUCCUAGUACGAGAGGACCGGAGUGGACGCAUCACUGGUGCAACUGUUGUCGUGCCAACGGCACAGCAGGGAAGCGAAAUGCGGAUGGGAUAAACGCUGAAGGCAUCUAAGCGUGAAGCCCACCUCAAGAAUAAGUGUCCCAUUCGAAAGAAGUAAGACCCCUGGAGGACUACCAGGUGAUAGGUCAUCGGUGAAAGAGCGGUAACGUUUGGAGCUUGAUGAUACUAAUCGGUCGAGGACUUGAUCU
Molecule: ribosomal RNA, 1624 nt
Filed under: metagenome
Description: bacterial LSU rRNA
Rfam family: Bacterial large subunit ribosomal RNA
Source: RNAcentral